UAAACAUAUUCAAGACUAAAUCUAUGAAGUUUGCUGAGUUGGGAAAGUACAAAUCUCGCAGGAUUUAAGCAAAAAACAGAUUGUUCACUUAAUUGUUUGAAAAACAUCAUACGUAUUAAGCUCUACAGAUAUAGUUCAGCAGAUAGCAGACCAAGGUUUGCAACCAGAUUUUCAACAAUAUUGGAUAAUGAUUUAAAUCCAACAAAAAUUCCACCGGUAAACAUCAG
Molecule: unclassified non-coding RNA, 227 nt
Filed under: Hevea brasiliensis (rubber tree)
Lineage: Eukaryota; Viridiplantae; Streptophyta; Magnoliopsida; Malpighiales; Euphorbiaceae
Source: RNAcentral